This 546-nucleotide ribosomal RNA is filed under the name Salmonella enterica subsp. enterica serovar Typhimurium. RNAcentral describes it as "partial 23S ribosomal RNA". It matches the Rfam family "Bacterial large subunit ribosomal RNA", at positions 1211 to 1757 of the family's 2925-position model. Lineage: Bacteria; Pseudomonadati; Pseudomonadota; Gammaproteobacteria; Enterobacterales; Enterobacteriaceae. The record is from RNAcentral.
ACUCAGGUGUUGUUGGGUAGGGGAGCGUUCUGUAAGCCUGUGAAGGUGGCCUGUGAGGGUUGCUGGAGGUAUCAGAAGUGCGAAUGCUGACAUAAGUAACGAUAAAGCGGGUGAAAAGCCCGCUCGCCGGAAGACCAAGGGUUCCUGUCCAACGUUAAUCGGGGCAGGGUGAGUCGACCCCUAAGGCGAGGCCGAAAGGCGUAGUCGAUGGGAAACGGGUUAAUAUUCCCGUACUUGGUGUUACUGCGAAGGGGGGACGGAGAAGGCUAUGUUGGCCGGGCGACGGUUGUCCCGGUUUAAGCGUGUAGGUGUGUGUUCCAGGUAAAUCCGGUUCACUUUAACACUGAGGCGUGACGACGAGGCACUACGGUGCUGAAGCAACAAAUGCCCUGCUUCCAGGAAAAGCCUCUAAGCAUCAGGUAACAUCAAAUCGUACCCCAAACCGACACAGGUGGUCAGGUAGAGAAUACCAAGGCGCUUGAGAGAACUCGGGUGAAGGAACUAGGCAAAAUGGUGCCGUAACUUCGGGAGAAGGCACGCUGACAC